This 81-nucleotide transfer RNA is filed under the name Pteropus alecto (black flying fox). It matches the Rfam family "tRNA". Rfam says of the family: Transfer RNA (tRNA) molecules are approximately 80 nucleotides in length. Lineage: Eukaryota; Metazoa; Chordata; Mammalia; Chiroptera; Pteropodidae. The record is from Rfam by way of RNAcentral.
GGUUCCAUAGUGUAGUGGUUAGCACGUUAGCACGUCUGCUUUACAUGCGGAAGGUCCUGGGUUCACGACCCAGUGGAGCCA